AGCGGUUGUCAAAUUGUGGUUCCUUAAUAGCGUUUCCAGUAGAAUCCAUUUCAUCAGAUUAGGAGGCAUCCGAGGGUCGGCAGGACCAUGUUAGGCACCACAAAACAAUACUACUGUAGGCAACAUGGAUUGCAGAGAGCUAGACAGACACCUUGGAAGCAAUCACCAUGCUCAAAGUAGUGUGUCCUGCACACUAGAGUUUAAAUUGCCAACAGCAGCAACUACCAAAAAAUCCAAACUUGUGCCCAUCCUAAAGCCCUCUUCGCACCUACCAAAUGCAACAGCAAAUUUAUCGUGUGCUUAAGCUUAAAGUUGUAAUGUUUGUUCAAAGAAAGACUCUUCCCAAGAACAAUGUUUUACACACUUAAAGAUGUGAUCUAACUUCGUUCAGACCUUGGAUUUACUUAAUUUUUUUAGAAACUGCCUAAGAAAAAAGUCUCCAUUCUAACAGAUUUUCCUUUGGAGCAUGCAGAAACUAUUCCCCUGCCACAUGCCCCCAGCAGAACAGCCAGCUAACUGAAAGCGAAUAAUUAGAAUCUAUUAGAGAAGCUAAUGGCAACAUUCUUCUUCAUAGAGUUAGCAGAAUGAACUUAAACUACGUAUUUACCUUGCAUACUUUGAUUAGGGAGACCAAUUGUUUGACCUCUUUUCAGCCGGUAUAUCGAUCUCUUAAAUUUCUCGUUUAUAUGUCGUGGAGCGCACCAGGGUUAGCUUACAUCCUUGAACCAAGAACCAUCUCUUGGCUGACCUAGUUCUAGUCUGUUGACAAACGUGAUAAAGACAAACAGAAAAAGUACUAAGGAGACAGAGGGAGUAUUUUAUAUGUCAACUCACUUUUUAGUGGAGGCUUUCUAUGAUUGGAAAUACUCUUAGAAUAAUAAAAAUUUUGUAUAUUUUCUUAGAACUUUCACUUUUGUCGCUGUACGUCAAUUAGAAUUUUAGUGGAGAGUUUCAAACGAAGAUGCUCUGAGAGCAUCUCCGACCCUUGAAAUCUCUUGGCUAAAAAUGAGUUGGCAUACUUAAAAUAAAAAUAUUUAGGCAACAGUUCGAAAAACUCAACUUCAACCAUGCUCAGCCGUUGUCUAUAAAUUUAGCCAACCUCCCAUGGAUGACUAAAUUUGUCGAGGAAAUCUGUAGGAAGAUUGCACAUCAUUUAUUACUAUAUUGAACUGAUAUAUUCUAUUUUAACAAUCUAAAAUAUUAAUAACAUACUAUAUUUAAAUUAUAACCAACCAAUAUAAUCAAUACCAUUGAAGCAAAAUGUCUUACAGGUUCAGCAAAUUUUACAUAAUAUCUUGCAGGUCCUAUUUAGCCAACGAUUAUAGCCAACGCCAUUGGAGAUGCUCUAACCAUCCACGUUACGACUCCAUUUGGAUUAUACAUGAAAUUCAUUAUUAUUAUUUAAUUUAUACUUAAUCAAAUAUAGAAUAUAACAGUUGUCAUUUUAUAUUCAGUUUGAUAUUUUUAGCAUUUUCUUUUAUUUUAAGGGAUUUUCCUUAAUUGAGAGAUAUUUUCCUUUUCAGUUAAAGAGACGGCGAAAAUUUUGAACAGUUUCCUUGUAGAAAUUUUAGGAUACCCCGAAAUUAAGAAUCAAAAAAAAUAUAUAUAUAUCCUUAACGGCUAAAUAAGAACUUGCGGUUUACAAGAAAGAAAUCCGGGAUUGUACCACAAGCCCGAUCCAGAAUCCUUAUUCAAGAUAUUUGCCCAAAAUUCAAUCAUAUUAGUACUGUCUUCUUGAUUGUAUUUCUCAAAUCUGAGGGUGUUCUUGUGAGCAAUUAAGCAUGAAUAAUGCUGUACCGCAUAAAUCGAUGAAAGAAACUGACCCAUGCCCGAACGGUAGAGAGCUUUCACUUGUGUCUAGAAGUUUGAAAGAGAGCUUUCUUGUGUCACAUUCAGAUACACUACUUGCUUUUCCUGCACGCAAGGUUUUUCCAUCUCUUUAAUUCCUCCUUCUCAUCAUUCAUUGUGCUAUAAUAAUUUCUACUUAUCUUCUUUUGAGUUGAUUGAAAUUAUAAGUUAUUACUGGGAUCUUGAUUGCAAGGGAAGUUCUUUUCUAAAAUUUAUUUAAAUACAUUCACCCCGUUCUGAUUAUUUAUUUUUUCCUUGAAGCAUUACUUACGCAUACACAAGCUCAGCGGAAAUAAGUAUUUUUUUAGAGCUCAGAUGGUGCUCUUCAUGGGCGAGCCUUGUCUCCCGUCACGGCUUCUCCUUUCUCCUUCUCCUUUGUAAGUUAUAAUUGGUCCUGAUUUUUCCUAUAUAUACUUGAAUUUGUAUUAUGAGUUUUAGGACACAUACUGUUUCUAGAUUAUUGUUCUUAUCAUGCUAGCAUUUAUCUGUUAACUUACGAUUUUAUGUCCUAUUUUUUGUUGUAAUCCUGAACAAUGACUUCAGGAUAAGGGAAAACGGAAUUGUCAAUAGUAAACCAUUUGAAAGCUAGCUUUAUUAAUCUAGUUAAUCUAGUUAUCACUUAUUUUUGAGUUAAAAAAAUAAAUAAUAUAUUACAUGUAUGUAUAAACUCCCAUUUGGUACCCUUGGAGUACCUUCGCUUUAUUUGCUGCAGAUAUGUACUAAUGUCAACCAAAUUUCUUUUAGGGGAAUUAAAAUAAAUUUAUAAUGUAAAGGUUCUAAUCCCAGCCUGCACAAAAUAUAGAAGUAGGAAUGAUGUAACAAACAAUGUAUAUACACACAUAUUGACUGAAACAAAUGCUAUAUAAGCUAAUUGACAUAAUUUACAUGAUCCGGUGAAGAGCGAGAAUCAGAACAAAACAAUGAACAUAGUAUUCUAGGUUGUAGUAGAAACAAUAUUAACAAAGUGUAGCAUAGAAAACAAAGUUGAGAAUAGGGGAUUCUUUAAGCGGUUGUCAAAUUGUGGUUCCUUAAUAGCGUUUCCAGUAGAAUCCAUUUCAUCAGAUUAGGAGGCAUCCGAGGGUCGGCAGGACCAUGUUAGGCACCACAAAACAAUACUACUGUAGGCAACAUGGAUUGCAGAGAGCUAGACAGACACCUUGGAAGCAAUCACCAUGCUCAAAGUAGUGUGUCCUGCACACUAGAGUUUAAAUUGCCAACAGCAGCAACUACCAAAAAAUCCAAACUUGUGCCCAUCCUAAAGCCCUCUUCGCACCUACCAAAUGCAACAGCAAAUUUAUCGUGUGCUUAAGCUUAAAGUUGUAAUGUUUGUUCAAAGAAAGACUCUUCCCAAGAACAAUGUUUUACACACUUAAAGAUGUGAUCUAACUUCGUUCAG
RNAcentral lists this long non-coding RNA (3244 nucleotides) under Daucus carota (carrot). RNAcentral describes it as "long non-coding RNA (DCAR_LNC003153)". The record is from RNAcentral. Lineage: Eukaryota; Viridiplantae; Streptophyta; Magnoliopsida; Apiales; Apiaceae.